This 253-nucleotide ribosomal RNA is filed under the name uncultured bacterium. RNAcentral's name for it is "partial 16S ribosomal RNA". It matches the Rfam family "Bacterial small subunit ribosomal RNA", at positions 524 to 776 of the family's 1533-position model. The record is from RNAcentral.
UACGUAGGGUGCAAGCGUUGUUCGGAAUCAUUGGGCGUAAAGCGCGUGUAGGUGGCUAGUUAAGUCGGGUGUGAAAGCCCUGGGCUCAACCGAGGAAGUGCACUCGAUACUGGCUGGCUAGAAGAUAGUAGAGGAUGGUGGAAUUCCAAGUGUAGAGGUGAAAUUCGUAGAUAUUUGGAGGAAUACCGGCGGCGAAGGCGGCUUUCUGGACGACAACUGACGCUGAGACGCGAAAGCGUGGAGAGCAAACAGG